This 2891-nucleotide long non-coding RNA is filed under the name Gossypium barbadense (sea-island cotton). Its description in RNAcentral is "long non-coding RNA (GBAR_LNC006822)". Lineage: Eukaryota; Viridiplantae; Streptophyta; Magnoliopsida; Malvales; Malvaceae. The record is from RNAcentral.
AAAGGGCUUAUGGCAAUUAAACUAGAUAUGAGUAAAGUAUACGACAGGGUUGAGUGGAAGUUUGUAGAAGGAGUGAUGAAGAAAAUGGGUUUUGAUCCAGAUUGGGUGGAUUCAUUAAUGAAGUGCGUAACGACAGUAUCAUACUCCGUAGUUUUUAAUGGUUUUACUGGUCAAUACUUUACCCCUUCUAGAGAUCUUAGACAGGGCGAUCCUUUUAAGUCCUUUUUUGUUUCUAUUUUGUGGGGAAGGAUUAUCUAGCCUUAUAAGGUCAGCAAUGAAAAAAAAGUUUAAUAGAGGGGUGAAGGCGAGCAGAAAUGGAACACAGAUCUCACAUUUAUUAUUUGCAAACAACUGUAUUUUGUUUGGAGAGGCCACUGAAAGAAGAGCAGUUUAUCUGAAACAGAUUCUACAUGAGUAUGAGAAAUGUUCUGGUCAAAGUGUUAAUUAUGCUAAAUCGACUAUUUUCUUCAGUUCCAAUACGCAAGAAGGAGAGAAAAGAGUUGUUACUAGGGUGCUCGGAGUACGCAGCUCAAAUAAUCCAGAGAGAUAUCUAGGUUUACCUAAUUUAGCGGGGAGAAAGAAGAAAGAGUCUUUUCAAAGCCUAAAGGAUAGAUUACUACAACGAAUUGAUAAUUGGAGUAUAAAGCAUCUUUCGCAAUGAGGAAAUGAGGUUUUUAUUAAGGCAGUUCUCCAAUCCAUUCCAACCUACUCAAUGGCGUGUUUUUUACUUCCAAAAACCCUUUGUUCUGAAUUAGAAGGUAUAAUAGCAAAAUUUUGGUGGCAGAAAAAUCGAGGUAAAAAAGGCAUUCAUUGGUGUGCUUGGAAGGAUAUGUGUGCAUUAAAAGAUAUAGGAGGUAUUGGCUUUCGAAAACUUGAUAAAUUUAACGUUGCAUUACUAGCUAAACAGGGUUGGUGUUUGAUUAAUUAUCAUUUUUCCUUGUUAGCUCGAGUUUUAAAAGCGAAAUACUAUCCGUCCUCUAAUUUUUUAAAAGCUCAAUUAGGAAAUUCACCUUCACUUACCUGGAAAAGUGUGUGGGCAACUAAAGGACUUUUGGAGAAAGGAUUGUGCUGGAGAGUCGCGAAGGGAGAUCGCAUUUCUAUCUGGUCUAACAUCUGGAUACCGAAUGUUGAGGAAAAUAGAUUGCAGAAUCAAAUAAGCAAUGUUAAUAUUGAGUUUGUUUCAGAUUUGAUUGAUGAAAAGAGUAGAUCAUGGAAAACAAAGUUAUUGGUUAAUACCUUUCACACAGAGAUUGUUAAAAAAAUCAUGCAGAUUCUAUUGGCAAGGGCUGUGCACGACUAUUUCCAAGUAUAGGGAGGGGAACCAUCCGGUAAUUUUUCCGUUAGAAGUGCCUACAAACUAUUACAAAGGGCUACACUGGUUCUUAGUAAUAAUAAUUUACAGGCCGAGAUUAAAACUUUCUACAGAAAACUAUGGAACCUACAUGUUCCUUCAAAACUCAAAAUUACAGUCUGGAAAAUUUCCUGGAACUACAUCCCUACUCUUGCUAAUCUUAAGAUAAAACGAGUUGCAGUGGAGACUCAAUGCCCCAGUUGUCAUCGGAAUGAAGAAGACAGUAUUCACAUUUUUCGGCAAUGUCCUACAACGGAGGAAGUAUGGAGAAAUUUACAAUUUUCUUGGGUGUUUAAUUGUAACAAUCAGGAAAUUUGGGAAUGGCUUACUUGGGUUUUCAACCGGGGAACAAGCGAACAGUGUCGUCUUUUUUGCUGUGGAUUAUGGAUCAUCUGGACAAGUAAAAAUAAGCUCCUUUAUGAAAAUUGAAACACAACAAGUUUAGAUAUUUCUAAUCACAUAAUUAGUUACGUUUCGGAGUUGAAAGGUUUAAAUGAGAAAAUACUUAGCUUUGAUUCUGACAUAGAUCUCAACCAUGAUGAACAAAGAAUGUGUCCAGCCAUCUACUUUGAUGCGGCUUCCGACCAAAAGCUUUUUAGAUCGGCUUCGGGUUUGAUUGUACGUGCGAUGGAUGGGGAAAUCUUGGCUUCUAAAUCGGUACUUCACUCUGAAGUUGCAUCACCGUUUGCGGCGGAGGCUUUUGCAGGCCUAGAUGCAAUGAGAUUAGGUAGUUCCAUGGGUUUUAAUGCAUGCAUGAUUCUGGGUGAUUCUAAAACAGUUAUCAAGAAAUGUCAAAGUGCAGAUUAUGAUAGAUCGGUCAUUGGAGCACUCAUCAGAGAUAUCCAACUCUUAAAAAUACACUUUCAAGACUUGGGGUUUCUUUUCAUCCCAAAAUCAGAAAAUCUCUUUGCUCACUUUACUGCUAGAAAAACAUUGAAAGAAAAUGAAAAUCAUUACCUAGAGGCAGGCGUCUCAAGCUGGGUUCAAAGAGAAGUGGAGAGGCUAAAGUCGAGAGCUCCAGAUUGAAGAAUAAGAAAUGACUUUUUUGAGAACUUGUAGGAGAAGAUAAAAUAUUUAAGGAGAUUUGAUCACUCUGCUAUUUCAAACAGUUGUGAUGGUUCAGAUGAUAGGAGAAGACAUUAAGAGGGCAGCUAUUGAUGUCGACCGGCAUUAAAAGGAGUAGGUUUCCAAUUUCUGUUCAGUUUAUUUUAUUUAUGGGCAGUUUUGUUUUGCUUUAUUUAGGUUUUUUAGCUUAUUGGACUUGCUUUGUUUAGACCCAAGUUCAAGUUGCAGGAGAUCAUUUGUUCUUUUUACAGUUCUUAUUAUUUUAAUAAAACCAGUCGAUUUAGUAAAAAAAAAAAACUUACACAACCAAAAUCAAAUAAACUAAUUAUUGUUUAUCGUGUCAAUUUUUUAACCUUUUAUAUUAAAAAAUUCUAUUGUUAAUAUAUUAAAAAAUUAUUCUUAUUUUAAAUUAAAAUUAGAUUGAAAUCAAAUUUAAAUUUAAUGAUGUAUUAUCUAGGGUAAGGUAGAAUAUGAC